GUCAAGGCUCCAGCUCCUUGUGGUUUUGCAGCCGGGCUGGGCUGUAGCUCAGAGCUGCCUGGGUCUCUCCAGCCCGAUGUCUGGAACAGCCUGCCUGUCGAUCUGCGGAAAGAGCCUGGAACAGAUGACCUCUCAGGCUUCACCUGCGCACUGCGCACCCGGCGGCAGCGACCGCACUUCCGUACGGGGACACAGUGUCGCCAAGCCCCCAGCCCUGGGCCCGCGGCUGCCUCCCUGCAAAGAUGUGAGUGGCCAAUGAGCUCUAAACAGAAGCUUUUGGAUGGGGCCUCCAGUAAACAAGACUUAUUUAGCCUGCAGACACCCCUUGUCCCUGCUUGUUCCUUUUUCUUCCUGCCUGGAACAUGGACAUGAUGACUGGAGCUGUGGCAGCCAUCUUGGAACCAUGAAGGAAAAGUCAAGAAAAUUAUAAAAACUUUGGCCCUGGCAUACUUGAGCUUCUACACCAGGGGUUGGCAAACUAUGGCCCGUGAGCCAAAUCUGGC
This 503-nucleotide long non-coding RNA is filed under the name Equus caballus (horse). Its description in RNAcentral is "lncRNA (ENSECAG00000058547.1)". The record is from RNAcentral. Lineage: Eukaryota; Metazoa; Chordata; Mammalia; Perissodactyla; Equidae.